Long non-coding RNA from Mytilus trossulus (common blue mussel), 340 nucleotides. RefSeq lists it as uncharacterized. The transcript has 4 exons. NCBI's taxonomy places the organism in Eukaryota, Metazoa, Mollusca, Bivalvia, Mytilida, Mytilidae. The record is from RefSeq and is a predicted model, not a curated record.
GUAAACUACUAGAGAUCGCUGCAGAUACCCGGAGUGAUAUGAAGAUGAGAAUUACGAUUCUUUUUUUAAUGUUUGUGUUAAUCACUUUUGAUAAAAGUUCCGUAGAAACAUGUCAAGUCAACGAAUUUACAUGUUCUGACGGAAACUGCAUUCCAAUUGCGAAGAAAUGUAACUUCGAUUUUGAUUGCCGAGAUCGCUCUGAUGAAAUUACAUGCCCUACUGUGAAAACAUGUCCCGAAGGUUUAAGCCGUUGUAGUUCAGGAAAAUGUGUUGUUCAUCAAUCGGAAUGCUCAACUACAGCUAAUUUUGGAAACCACACCACUUCAGAAAACAAAUCAGG